AACGAACGCUGGCGGCAGGCUUAACACAUGCAAGUCGAACGCAUGCCUUCGGGCAUGAGUGGCAGACGGGUGAGUAACGCGUGGGAACCUACCCCUUGGUACGGGAUAGCUCCGGGAAACUGGAGAUAAUACCGUAUGUGUCCUGAGGGACAAAGAUUCAUCGCCAAGGGAUGGGCCCGCGUCGGAUUAGCUAGUUGGUGGGGUAACGGCCUACCAAGGCGACGAUCCGUAGCUGGUCUAAGAGGAUGAUCAGCCACAUUGGGACUGAGACACGGCCCAAACUCCUACGGGAGGCAGGAGAGGGGAAUAUUGGACAAUGGGCGCAAGGCUGAUGCAGCCAUGCCGCGUGAGUGAUGAAGGCCCGAGAGUUGUAAAGCUCUUUCACCGGUGACGGUAAUGACGGUAACCGGAGAAGAAGCCCCGGCUAACUUCGUG
This 435-nucleotide ribosomal RNA is filed under the name uncultured bacterium. RNAcentral's name for it is "partial 16S ribosomal RNA". It matches the Rfam family "Bacterial small subunit ribosomal RNA", at positions 29 to 507 of the family's 1533-position model. The record is from RNAcentral.